GCUGGGUGCGGUGGCUCACGCCUGUAAUCCUAGCACUUUGGGAGGCUGAGGUGGGUGGAUCACCUGAGGUCAGGAGUUCAAGACCAGCCUGGCCAACAUGGUGAAACCCCAUCUCUA
This 117-nucleotide small RNA is filed under the name Pongo abelii (Sumatran orangutan). RNAcentral describes it as "Metazoan signal recognition particle RNA (ENSPPYG00000038523.1)". The record is from Rfam by way of RNAcentral. Lineage: Eukaryota; Metazoa; Chordata; Mammalia; Primates; Hominidae.